This 301-nucleotide ribosomal RNA is filed under the name uncultured bacterium. RNAcentral describes it as "partial 16S ribosomal RNA". It matches the Rfam family "Bacterial small subunit ribosomal RNA", at positions 509 to 807 of the family's 1533-position model. The record is from RNAcentral.
CAGUCGCCGCGGGAAUACAGAGGGUGCGAGCGUUAAUCGGAUUUACUGGGCGUAAAGCGUGCGUAGGCGGCUUCUUAAGUCGGAUGUGAAAUCCCUGAGCUUAACUUAGGAAUUGCAUUCGAUACUGGGAAGCUAGAGUAUGGGAGAGGAUGGUAGAAUUCCAGGUGUAGCGGUGAAAUGCGUAGAGAUCUGGAGGAAUACCGAUGGCGAAGGCAGCCAUCUGGCAUAAUACUGACGCUGAGGUACGAAAGCAUGGGGAGCAAACAGGAUUAGAUACCCCAGUAGUCCCUGUCUCUUAUAC